GAGCCUGCAUUAAUUGUUUUUUUUCCACACUGUGUAUAAAACGAUAUUUGAAAUGCUCUUCACUGAAAAGAUGGGUGACCUAACUCUGGGAAACAUAAAGGAACAGAAGAACAAUAGAGAAUUGAUCACUUACAAUUCUUUAUUGAUCCUAUGUUUUGUCAACACCAACCAUCGCUUCCCAACAAAAACAAUAAUCACCUAUCCUGCAUUGUAGGAGAGCCUGGAUGAAGUUGGGAAUAUGAAUGAGUGGUAGAAGGAAGUACCAAUAAAGCAAAUAACUGGAUAGACUUAAA
Neopelma chrysocephalum (saffron-crested tyrant-manakin) is the source of this 293-nucleotide long non-coding RNA. RefSeq lists it as uncharacterized. The record is from RefSeq and is a predicted model, not a curated record. The transcript is spliced from 2 exons. Lineage: Eukaryota; Metazoa; Chordata; Aves; Passeriformes; Pipridae.